GACGGAGGAUGCAAGCGUUAUCCGGAAUGAUUGGGCGUAAAGCGUCCGCAGGUGGCAGUUCAAGUCUGCUGUCAAAGACCGGGGCUUAACUUCGGAAAGGCAGUGGAAACUGAACAGCUAGAGUAUGGUAGGGGCAGAGGGAAUUCCUGGUGUAGCGGUGAAAUGCGUAGAGAUCAGGAGGAACACCCGGGCGAAGGCGGCCCUCUGGCUCGACCCUGACGCUGAGGCGCGAAAGCGUGGGAGCGAACGGG
This 251-nucleotide ribosomal RNA is filed under the name uncultured bacterium. Its description in RNAcentral is "partial 16S ribosomal RNA". It matches the Rfam family "Bacterial small subunit ribosomal RNA", at positions 524 to 776 of the family's 1533-position model. The record is from RNAcentral.